GACAUGUUUUGUUAAUCCACUUUAAAUGCGGUCUACCUGCAAUGAAGCAUAAAUCAAAAGCUUUGAAAAUGAAGACUGGGAUAAUCCUUUAACUGGCAAUGAAGAUGAAUGCAUUUAUGCUAUACUUGGAGAGGGCUUUGCGAAAAUUCUUCUCCUAAGUGACAACUAUCCAAUCAUACCGGCUUCUUUGCACCCUGUACUUUUAUCUAAACUCAUUUACUUGUACUUCAGUGAUGUAUCAGAAGAUAUGCACAGGUUGAAGCAAUGCUUAUCUAUUUUCUUUGAGCACUACCCAUGUCUCUCAACAAAACACAAGGCAAGCAUAAUUUCAUAUUUUAGGAAAUGGUACAUGGAAUUUCGUUCAAAGUUUGGGGAUUGUGUUAUAGUUCAAGCUCUUGCUACACCAUGGUCCCUGCUGUCUGCUAACCUCAUAUUCAUGAAGAUUUUUUAUAUCAUAUUUAUACAGAACCAAUUUAACAACCAUAUUUCUAACUGAAAUUAUUUGAAAUUAUUCAAGAAUUUCAAACUCAUAUGUUAGUAGUUACUUUUGGGGAAAAGAAAAUCAGAUUUACUUGCAUACUAUUCUGUUUUAGUUAGAGAUCUACAUACUAUUCUGUAACUAAACUAUGCAUAAUUAAUGAACCAUUCAAUUUACUACAGGAUUCCUUUUAUCAUAACUUGACUGAGGAGGAAUUUAAAAGAGUACAGACUACAACUUUGAUCAUCCUGCUGGCAGUGACUUAUAUAGGAGCUGCAAUGGAAAUAGAAAUUCCUCUACGUCGAAAGUGAUCACAUAAAUUAAGAUGGCAUCGUUGAAACAGAUGAAGAAGACCUUAGUAAUGAAUUUUGAUUUGUAUUUUUUUUUCAUUUU
Molecule: long non-coding RNA, 871 nt
Organism: Vicia villosa (hairy vetch)
Lineage: Eukaryota; Viridiplantae; Streptophyta; Magnoliopsida; Fabales; Fabaceae
Exons: 3
Source: RefSeq, a predicted model, not a curated record